AAGGCAGGCGACUAUUCCGGUUGGCUGUCCGAGGAGGGAGGGCGCGUUUCGAGCGAGCUGAGUAGCUUUUCAGUGCUGAACUUCCCCGUGACGAGGAGGCACGUAUCAACGAGACACGCGCACCGCACGUCAUCGCAAGGUUGUGCGAAGGUCAUCUGCUGCUGGUUGGCGUUUUAUUGGACUGAUUGAAGAUCAGCGGCGGGGCGGCGACGACCGGUGGACAUGCUCCAAUCGGGCACCCCUGUCAACAAGCGACCCCGCGUCGACGCGCGCGGUCCCAUCAGCAACGGUCCGAUGCCGCGGCCGCUGGUGGCCCUGCUCGACGGCAGGGACUGCUCGGUGGAGAUGCCCAUCCUCAAGGAUGUGGCCACCGUAGCGUUCUGCGACGCACAGAGCACCUCCGAGAUCCACGAAAAGGUUCUGAAUGAGGCCGUCGGCGCCCUGAUGUGGCACGGCAUUAGUCUCACCAAGGACGACCUGGAAAAGUUUCGCGCGCUCAAGAUCAUCGUCCGCGUCGGCAGCGGCGUCGACAACAUCGACACCAAGGCGGCGGCCGAGCUCGGCAUUCACGUGUGUAACGUGCCCGGCUACUCAGUGGAGGAGGUGGCCGACUCGACCAUGUGUAUGAUCCUGAACCUCUACCGGCGCACCUACUGGCUGGCGCGCAUGGUGGCAGAAGACAAAAAGUUCAUGGGACCAGACGCGAUCCGAGACGCGGCGAACGGCUCAGCGCGGAUCCGGGGCGACACGCUGGGUAUCGUUGGCCUCGGCAAGAUCGGUCAGGCGGUGGCGCUGCGGGCCAAGGCGUUCGGGUUCGCCGUCUACUUCUACGACCCGUACAUCCAGGACGGCAUCGACCGGGCGCUGGGCAUCACGCGCGUCUUCACACUCCAGGAGCUUCUGUACCAGUCAGACUGUGUCACCCUUCACUGCUCACUCAACGAGCACAACCACAGGCUCAUCAACGACUUCACCAUCAAGCAGAUGAGGCCAGGCGCGUUCCUGGUGAACACAGCGCGCGGCGGCCUGGUGGACGAAGAGGCCCUGGCUGCGGCGCUCAAAGAGGGACGGAUCCGAGCCGCCGCGCUGGACGUGCACACCAACGAGCCCAACAACAUCUUCCUUGGUCCGCUGAAGGAGGUAAAGAACACCAUUAUCGCCACGCCGCACGCCUCGUACUACUCAGAGGCGUCGUUCAGCGAACUGCGCGAGAUGGCGGCCACAGAGAUCCGGCGCUACAUCGUCGGACACAACCUGCGCAACUGUGUCAACAAGGAGUACCUGAAGAUGGCCUCGUACGGCGACGGCCUGAACGGCGCCGGCGCGCCCGGCCUGCCGGCGCCCGGCGCUCCCAGCAGCUACUACCCAGCCCAGAUGCAGCGGGGGAUGGGUGUGGCGGCGCACUCGACCUCCGCGCACGACGCCGCGUCGCUGUCCGUACCGUCCUCCCUUCCCCACCACCUCCCCACCGCGCAAGUUCCAGAGCGGCUCUGAGGGGGGUCGCCGCGGCCGCCCGAGCAACGCUGCAGCGAGCCACAGUACCUGAGUCAAGGCAGCCGACCAGCACACAAGAGAGCCAUAGCUUAAUAAAGCCAGAGUCGUCGGACAUCCACUGAGCGCGCCCGCAGUGCCACCUGCCGGCGCUCGGACGAACUACACACCUCCGCCGUCGCCCGAUGUGAUAGGCGACGUGGUGGGCGCGCCGGGAUCCGUCGGAACCACCGGAAACCACGGGGAACCAUUGGGAACCAGCGGCGCCGCGGCGGCCGCGACGAAUCGCCCCAGCGGCUGGCGCUGACUGGAGCGGGGCGCCGGUGGACUGACAGUGCUGGACAUCUCUCCAUCGCACCGACCGGCGUGCCGGGGCCGGGCCGAGUGUACGCGUGCGUGUGUGUGUCUGUGUGCGUGUCUGUGUGCGUGAGAGGGCGGCGGGGGCGCGGCCGCCGCGAGUUGCCGAGCUCGGGAAGCUCCUGUACAAACCGCGCGUAUUUUUGCUGUGUCUGAUGCGUGAGCGAGGAGCGGGCCGCCGCGCGAGCGACUAGGCUCGGCGGCCGCCAGAGAGACGAGACGAGUCGCCACCGGGACGCCCUCAGAGAGCCCAGACGAACCGACGACGGCGGCGGCGGCGGCGGCGGGGGCGGCAGCCGCCGACGAUUACCGGGCGCCCCCGACCCGCCGCCGCCGCCCCAGCCCUGUGUAUAUUACCGUUCAUGGUCAUUUGGUCAUCAUGUAGAUCUUCCAUAAAUAAAGGAGACUUAACGUUGAUCUGUCUGUUGCGGGCGGCGCAGCCGGCCGGCCGGUUGGACGGCUGGGAAUGGUGUCGCCGCCGGUUUGGACUGUGUGCCGUGCCGGCAACGGUCGACAUUGUGUAAUCUCGCGUCAAUGGCCUGGAUCGAGGAAUAAAGCGCGCAGUGGUCGGAUGUU
This is an RNA transcript of Amphibalanus amphitrite, 2424 nucleotides long. It is a transcript of the gene named C-terminal-binding protein-like, with no coding region annotated. The transcript is spliced from 11 exons. The record is from RefSeq and is a predicted model, not a curated record. NCBI's taxonomy places the organism in Eukaryota, Metazoa, Arthropoda, Thecostraca, Balanomorpha, Balanidae.